This 269-nucleotide long non-coding RNA is filed under the name Mus musculus (house mouse). RNAcentral's name for it is "long non-coding RNA chr4:147444379-147444648". The record is from RNAcentral. Lineage: Eukaryota; Metazoa; Chordata; Mammalia; Rodentia; Muridae.
AUUACUAUUGCAUCCAUACACCUUUGACAUCUCUGGCCUAUGGAGACCCUUUGAGAAUGGAUCUGGCCUAUAUGCAUCUAUGUUUCCCUGCCUUCAGAGGUCUGAUUCUUGGGAUUUUUGUGACUCACCCAGCACCUUCCAUCUGGAAAGCCAGUAAGCACUCUCUCAUCUACAUUCUGCCCAUUUCUCUCAUCUUCUCUUUCCUUGGCUUCAUAAUAUUCACAGGCCAUUCAAACUCAGUUAUUUUUAUCGUGAGGCAAACCAUGUUC